GACGAACGCUGGCGGCGUGCUUAACACAUGCAAGUCGAACGGUAGGGCCCUUCGGGGUACACGAGUGGCGAACGGGUGAGUAACACGUGGGUGAUCUGCCCUGCACUUCGGGAUAAGCCUGGGAAACUGGGUCUAAUACCGGAUAGGACUCCUGGCUUCAUGGUUGGGGGUGGAAAGCUUUUGCGGUGUGGGAUGGGCCCGCGGCCUAUCAGCUUGUUGGUGGGGUAAUGGCCUACCAAGGCGACGACGGGUAGCCGGCCUGAGAGGGUGACCGGUCACACUGGGACUGAGAUACGGCCCAGACUCCUACGGGAGGCAGCAGUGGGGAAUAUUGCACAAUGGGCGCAAGCCUGAUGCAGCGACGCCGCGUGAGGGAUGACGGCCUUCGGGUUGUAAACCUCUUUCAGCUAUGACGAAGCGCAAGUGACGGUAGUAGCAGAAGAAGGACCGGCCAACUACGUGCCAGCAGCCGCAGUAA
Molecule: ribosomal RNA, 478 nt
Filed under: uncultured bacterium
Lineage: Bacteria
Description: partial 16S ribosomal RNA
Rfam family: Bacterial small subunit ribosomal RNA
Source: RNAcentral